GACGAACGCUGGCGGCGUGCUUAACACAUGCAAGUCGAACGGAAAGGCCCUGCUUUUGUGGGGUGCUCGAGUGGCGAACGGGUGAGUAACACGUGAGUAACCUGCCCUUGACUUUGGGAUAACUUCAGGAAACUGGGGCUAAUACCGGAUAGGAGCUCCUGCUGCAUGGUGGGGGUUGGAAAGUUUCGGCGGUUGGGGAUGGACUCGCGGCUUAUCGGCUUGUUGGUGGGGUAGUGGCUUACCAAGGCUUUGACGGGUAGCCGGCCUGAGAGGUUGACCGGCCACAGUGGGACUGCGAGACGGCCCAGACGCCUACGGGAGGCAGCAGUGGGGAAUAUUGCACAAUGGGCGGACGCCUGAUGCAGCGACGCCGCGUGCGGGAUGACGGCCUUCGGGUGGUAAACCGCUUUCGCCUGUGACGAAGCGUGAGUGACGGUAAUGGGUAAAGAAGCACCGGCUAACUACGUG
This 468-nucleotide ribosomal RNA is filed under the name uncultured bacterium. RNAcentral describes it as "partial 16S ribosomal RNA". It matches the Rfam family "Bacterial small subunit ribosomal RNA", at positions 28 to 507 of the family's 1533-position model. The record is from RNAcentral.